CGGGGAAUAUUGCGCAAUGGGCGAAAGCCUGACGCAGCAACGCCGCGUGAGGGAUGAAGGCUUUCGGGUUGUAAACCUCUUUCAGCAGGGACGAUUGUGACGGUACCUGCAGAAGAAGCCCCGGCCAACUACGUGCCAGCAGCCGCGGUAACACGUAGGGGGCGAGCGUUGUCCGGAUUUAUUGGGCGUAAAGAGCUCGUAGGUGGUUCGGUAAGUCGGGUGUGAAAACUCUGGGCUCAACUCAGAGACGCCACCUGAUACUGCCGUGACUGGAGUCUGGUAGGGGAGUGUGGAAUUUCCGGUGUAGCGGUGAAAUGCGCAGAUAUCGGAAGGAACACCAGUGGCGAAGGCGGCACUCUGGGCCAGUACUGACACUGAGGAGCGAAAGCGUGGGUAGCGAACAGGGAUUAGAUACCCUGGUAGUCCACGCCGUAAACGUUGGGCACUAGGUGUGGGUCUCAACCAACGGGAUCCGUGCCGCAGCUAACGCAUUAAGUG
Molecule: ribosomal RNA, 498 nt
Filed under: uncultured Actinomycetes bacterium
Lineage: Bacteria; Bacillati; Actinomycetota; Actinomycetes
Description: bacterial SSU rRNA
Rfam family: Bacterial small subunit ribosomal RNA
Source: RNAcentral